UGCAAGGUUAUUUUAGGAAUUUCAAUAGAAAUAUCACAUAAAAUUAAGAUAAAAAAAGUGCUCUUAAUAAGUGUGCAAAUAUCAAUAGCUUUAUUUCACAUAACAGUUUUUAUGCUUUAUUUCAUAUCAAUAGCAUAAUCUUAUUGUACAUAAUAAUAAGGUCCGUAAAAUUUUAAAAGCUAAAAAAAAAUUAAAUUAUUGGGAGCCAUCACAAUAACUAUAUAACAACUCAUAGAAAUUAAAUUAUUGGGAGCUAAUAUGUGGUGCUUGAUAAUUAAUAACGACAUACACACACACUUUUACGACACCUCGGUUGAGCAGGAAAUUCGCAAUUAACUUCCUUUAUACAAUCACCAUCAUAAACACAUUGAACGUUCCCUGUAAUGUAAAAAGAGAGAAAAUAAUUAAUUUUACUAAAAUGGAAUAAAUUAUUGAAGUAAAGAAGAAAUUUUUUCAAAGGAGAUAAAAAUGCUUACAUCUAGAGCUUGUUGCAACAAGAAACAGGGAAAGAAGGAUAUUCAUAACAAAAACAAAGUUCACAAAUUUAGCCAUAUUUUCCAACUUUUGCAUGUAUCAAAUAGAAUAUGAUUUAUCACUUCUUAAUUUAUAAAACUUAUAUUCUCCUUAUACAUUAAUUAAAUAGUUUUUUGCACUUACAAAG
Molecule: long non-coding RNA, 661 nt
Filed under: Trifolium pratense (red clover)
Lineage: Eukaryota; Viridiplantae; Streptophyta; Magnoliopsida; Fabales; Fabaceae
Description: long non-coding RNA (TPRA_LNC003129)
Source: RNAcentral